RNAcentral lists this ribosomal RNA (355 nucleotides) under uncultured bacterium. RNAcentral's name for it is "bacterial SSU rRNA". It matches the Rfam family "Bacterial small subunit ribosomal RNA", at positions 8 to 350 of the family's 1533-position model. The record is from RNAcentral.
AGAGUUUGAUCAUGGCUCAGGAUGAACGCUAGCUACAGGCUUAACACAUGCAAGUCGAGGGGAAACGACAUCGAAAGCUUGCUUUUGAUGGGCGUCGACCGGCGCACGGGUGAGUAACGCGUAUCCAACCUGCCCACCACUUGGGGAUAACCUUGCGAAAGUAAGACUAAUACCCAAUGACGUCUCUAGAAGACAUCUGAAAGAGAUUAAAGAUUUAUCGGUGAUGGAUGGGGAUGCGUCUGAUUAGCUUGUUGGCGGGGUAACGGCCCGCCAAGGCUACGAUCAGUAGGGGUUCUGGAGAGGAAGGUCCCCCACACUUGGAACUGAGACACGGUCCAAACUCCUACGGGUGGCA